Long non-coding RNA from Telopea speciosissima, 98 nucleotides. RefSeq lists it as uncharacterized. The record is from RefSeq and is a predicted model, not a curated record. Lineage: Eukaryota; Viridiplantae; Streptophyta; Magnoliopsida; Proteales; Proteaceae. The transcript is spliced from 3 exons.
CAAGAGGGUGAAAAAAUGAAUCUGGAGGUUGGUCAAGUUUUGUGGAUGUUGAUGCAUUCCGGGCUGCUCUACAUGAUUUUGUCAUUUAAGAGGGCUUU